GACUUUAACAAAAGUUUACUGGAUGAUUGUGUUAGACUUGAUUUGGUUAAACAACUCAGUUUUUUAUGUGCCGAAGAUUUUAAACAACUGACAAGAUUGGUCAUGAAUAGAUUAUUUACAAAUACCCUGUUGACACAGUUCAACUUAAAAGGUUCUGGCGGAAAGAUUGGUUUACAUUCAACCAAACUAUAUGAUGUAAUAGAAGAAGUUGUAAAAAGAAAGUUUGAAAAAGUUUCAAACGCUGAUACUAAACAGCAAAUUGGACGAUUUUUGAAAAAAUGCUCCAUCGUGG
Molecule: long non-coding RNA, 292 nt
Organism: Hydra vulgaris (swiftwater hydra)
Lineage: Eukaryota; Metazoa; Cnidaria; Hydrozoa; Anthoathecata; Hydridae
Source: RefSeq, a predicted model, not a curated record